This is a long non-coding RNA of Dreissena polymorpha, 2622 nucleotides long. RefSeq lists it as uncharacterized. NCBI's taxonomy places the organism in Eukaryota, Metazoa, Mollusca, Bivalvia, Myida, Dreissenidae. The record is from RefSeq and is a predicted model, not a curated record. The transcript is spliced from 3 exons.
UUCAUGUAUUUCAACUUUUCCAAUGUCCAGAUAAAUACCCUAUUUGUACCCAUUGAAAACCUUUAAAACUUUAAAUUUGCAUUGUUAUUUUGUGUUUGGCUUGAAGAAAAAAGAUUGAUCUGUAUGCAAAUGUUUACAUUAUAUCUCACAGUCAUAACAAUUUCCAAUUUAUCGACAGUGGUGACCCGGUUUUAGCAUUAUAAUAUGAUUAUUAGUGCUUGUGAUCAUAUUUCAGAUGCCCAGGGGCCUUUAUGGUUGGGUUAGGGAGGGGUGCUCCCUCCCUUCCUUAAUUGAUUUUUAGCUCCAGUGGCCAAAGGCCAGCGGGGCUUAUGUCAUGGUCCUGUGUCCGCCAUGCGUGCGUCCGUCCGUGCCUGCGUGCGUCCGUCCGUGCAUUAACUUUUCCUUUAAACAUCUUCUUCUCCUAAACUACUGGUCCAAUUCUGAUGAAAUUUCUCAGUAAUGUUCCUUGGAUGAACCUAUUUCAAAUUUGUUCAAAUUAUGCGCCUGGGGUCAAAUUUGACCCUGCUCUGGGGUUACAAAAUUGAACAUAUGCUUAUAUAAGGCCUAUUUUGUGAAAUCUUUCAAAAUCUUCUCAUCCAUUACCAUAUGGGCAUGGGGCUAUCAAAUUUGCUAUGUAGAGAUAUCUAAUAGCCCUCUACCAAAUUUGUUCAAAUUAUGCUCCUGGGGUCAAAUUUGAAACUGCCCCGAGGGUCACAAAAUUUAACAUAUGCUUAUAAAGGGGCUAUUUUGUGAAAACUUUACAGAUCUUUUUGUCCAUUACCCUUGGGGUUAGGGCUACCAAAUUUGGUAUGUAGUGACAUCUUAUUGUCCUCUACCAAGUUUGCUCAAAUUAUGUCCCUGGGGUCAAGUUUGACCCUGCCCCGAGGGUCACAAAAUUGAACAUAUGCGUAUAUGAGGCCUAUUUUGUGAAAACUUAAAAAAUCUACUUGUUCAUAACUGUAUGGCAUAGUGCUACCAAAUUUGGUAUGUAUUGACAUGUAUUAGUUCUCUUCUUAGUUUGUUCAAAUUAUGCCCCUGGAGUCAAAUUUAAAACUGCCCCGAGGGUCACAAAUUGAACAUAUGCUUAUAAAUGGCUAAUUUAGGGUAAACUUUAAAAAUCAUUCUUGUUCAUAACCAAUGGGCCUAGGGCUACCAAAUUUGGUAUGAAGUGACAUCUUAUAGUCCUCUACCAAGUUUGUUCAAAUUAUGCCUCUGGGGUAAACUUUGACCCUGCCCGGGGGGGGGGGGGUCACAAAAUUGAAUAAAGCGCCUAUUUUGUGUAAAUUUAAAAAAAAAUCUUGUUGAAAACCAUUCGGACUAUGGCUACCAAAUUUGGUUUGCAGUAACAUCUUAUUGUCGUCUCCCAAGUUUGUUCAAAUUAUGCCCUUUGGGUCAAAUUUGACCCUGACCCGCAGGUCACAAAAUUGAACAUUAUAUACACUUCUUGCUUGCUUAUUUUGUGAAAACUUUUAAAAUAUUCUUGUCCUUAACUCUAGGAUCUAGGGCUACCACAUUUUGUAUGUAGUGAGAUAUAGUAGUUCUAUAUGUGUCCAAUAAUUAUGUUGAUGAAGGUGGCAGUGGUAAUGACUUGAUUUGUCUGUGAGAUAUGAAUGCCAAAAUCUUCGUUUUACAUAACAUGAAUUUUUAUGUAAAAGUGGUGGUUCUUCAUAAAUUCUACAUGUUCUUUGCAAAUGACCUAUACAAAGUUGUUCCAGGAGUACCAUAUUGCCUGACAAUCUUUUGUUUUAUUGUUAACUUAAACUGUACUUGAUUCUAGCAUGCCACUAUACUUCUUUGAAGUAAUUUGAGCAAAUUUCUCACUGUUUAGUAAUGUAUACAUUGUUUAAGGUACAUUAUAAUUUCACAUUUUGUAGGUAGACUUCAAUAUGUAUGAUAUACUUAUGCUGCCACAAUGUAAAGGCAACAAUCACUGGGUUUUGCUGGUUGCAAGUGUUAUGUCCAGGACUGUAACCAUUUACGACUCGUUGGAUGGUAACAACAAGCCCUCGAUUUGUUCUGCCAGUUCAUGUGUCAACGAGCGCAAAUUGUGAAAGAUGGCUUGGAAAAAUUCAGUUCAGAGUUCAAAGCGCCACCUUGCAACAAACAGCGCCAUGGAAACAGCUGUGGAGUGUUUGCAUUGAUGACUGCCAAAUGUUUGGUCAUGAAAAUGCAUCCCACAAUGUUGCGACAGGCCCAUGAUUCAGUUUAUCGAGACUAGUCGUGAGACGCAGACUUCUGAUUCAUGGGGUGCGGCAAACAUAUCUGUGCGACUCGAUGACUUCACUGUAAAGACCCGCACGGCAUUAAAAUGGAUAUUAUCAAUAUGUGUUGUUUCGCGAAAAUAUGUUUUUGUAGCAGGAAGUGCUUUGGGCUCGAUUAAUCUGAGAACUCAACAAAAUAUUAAUAAAAUCCUUCUGUGCCAAAAACAUAUUGACUUAAAUUAAUUAAUCCCGAUGGCGUAAAUGACUUAUCAUUUCAUGUUCAUGAACCGGUUUUAAAAUACUUUGUAGACUUAUCUGCUAGGCGGUGAGGACUUUUAGACCACCUGAUAAACUUCAACUUUAUUUGCCCUAGUUCAGUAACCGACUAAAGAUAUGCUAACAUAAUACUGAUGACUGAUGA